RNAcentral lists this long non-coding RNA (283 nucleotides) under Lathyrus oleraceus (garden pea). Its description in RNAcentral is "Pisum sativum (pea) long non-coding RNA (PSAT_LNC021539)". Lineage: Eukaryota; Viridiplantae; Streptophyta; Magnoliopsida; Fabales; Fabaceae. The record is from RNAcentral.
CAGUUUAAAAUUCUUUUUCGGUAUUCAGACUGACUCUCACCGUACCAGACUGAUUCUUCUUUCAAGACCACCUCUUUGCCGAUUCUGACAGACAUUGUUACUUCACUUCACUUCAGUGCAAAUUUUGGGGCUUUUAUUGUAUUCAAUCCCUUGAUACCUCGAAAGCAUGAAAGCAGUUGCCAUCUUCUUUCCGGGUUUUCAGUUGAUUGAAUAGGGGCAGCUGUAAUACCCCAAAAUUUACCCUUCAUUUUUCCUGGAAAAAAAAACGAAAAAACGAAAAGAA